This is a long non-coding RNA of Homo sapiens (human), 2399 nucleotides long. Ensembl annotates it as arachidonate 12-lipoxygenase pseudogene 2. Its record names the gene ALOX12P2. The record is from Ensembl. NCBI's taxonomy places the organism in Eukaryota, Metazoa, Chordata, Mammalia, Primates, Hominidae.
GAGAAGCUGAAGGUCUGCUUCCGGGAGAUGCUCCCGACUUCACCUGGAGCUGAGUCAAGUUAGAGAACCGGACCAAGCGAAAUACAGGGGCAGAGGAGGCAGCAGGGAGGCCCUGGGAGCUCUUUGAAUCCCCAGGUAGCCUAUUCCUGCCUGGCACCACUGGGAUUCAUCAGGAGGGAGGCCAGAGGAGCAGGAGGUGGGAGGCGGAAAGCCUCGGGCAAGUUUUCAAGCCCGUCCUCUGUCUGGAAACAGACUCAGAGGUGUUGCAGGGGACACGGUGGGAGUGAGACCAGCCCUUCGGUGUGCGUGGGAUCUGGGGGAGGCCUGUGACUGCCGGCUUUCCCCUGCUUCUCUGACAACCUGCAUGACUCAGCAGAGGCAGCCAUAAUCCUGGAGAGCCCCGGUUUAAGAUCUCCAGGUGAAGUAGAUUUUUAUUUCAGAACCUUCAGGAAGGGGAGAGUGGCUCAUGGGCUGAGUGGAUAAACCACAAAAUGGGUAAUAUACUAUAGGAGGCAGAGUUUGAGAUCGACGUCCCCCUGCACCUGGGGCGCCUCCUGAUGGUGAAGCUGCGCAAACACAACGUGCUGUUGAGUCUCGACUGGUUCUGCAAGUGGAUCUCAGUGCAGGGCCCGGGGACCCAAGGCGAGGCCUUUUUCCCCUGCUACCGCUGGGUGCAGGGCCACGGAAUUAUCUGCCUGCCUGAGGGUACUGGUGGGGCUCCUGGAAAGAUGGGUUAAUCCUGCCUAUAGCAGGGAAUAGGCAACCGGACCUUCCUAGGGACGAGCGAUUCCUCGAGGAUAAGGAUUUAGACUUUAAUGUCUCCCUAGCAAAAGGGCUGGAUCUCUGUUUGAAGUGGAUUUCUCCUUGCUGGAUGGAGUCAAGCCUAAUGUCAUCAUUUUUAAGCAGCAAUGCGUGGCAGCCCCUUUGGUCAUGCUGAAGCUUCAGCCUGAUGGAGGACUCUUACCCAUGGUCAUCCAGCUCCAGCCACCUUGACACGGAUGUCCCCCACCUCUGCUCUUUCUGCCCUCGCAUCCCCCCAUGGCCUGGCUCCUGGCCAAGACCUGGGUCCGGAGCUCUGAUUUCCAGCUGCAGCAGUUACAGUCACAUCUGCUGAGGGGACACUUGAUUGCUGAGGUUAUUGCUGUGGCUACAAUGAGAAGCUUGCCUAGCCUCCAUCCUAUCUACAAGCUCCUGAUCCCCCACUUCCGCUACACCAUGGCGAUCAACACGCUGGCCCAGAGUAGUCUUGUCUCCGAAUGGGGAAUUUUUGACCUGGUGGUGAGCACUGGUAGUGGAAGCCACGUGGACAUUCUUCAGAGAGCCAUGGCUUGUUUGACCUAUCAUUCCCUCUGUCCUCCUGAUGACCUGGCUGACCGUGGGCUCCUGGAUGUGAAAUCUUCUUUUUAUGGCUAAGAUGCCAUCAGGCUGUGGGGAAUCAUCAGCCGGGAAUAGGUACGUGGAGGGGAUGGUUGGGCUUUUCUACAAUAGUGACCAAGCCAUGAAGGAUGAUCUAGAGCUGCAGGCCUGGUGCAGAGAGAUGACUGAGACUGGACUGCAGAGGGCCCAAGACCAGGGGUUCCUCAUCUCCUUAGAGUCCCGGGCUCAGCUCUGCCACUUUGUCACCAUGUGCAUCUUCACAUGCACAGCUGGACUGGUACUCCUGGAUCCCUAAUGGCCCAUGCACCAUGCAGAAGCCCCCGCCCAUCUCUAAGGAUGUGACAGAGAAGGAUAUAGUGGACUUACUGCCCAAUCUCCACCAGGCACGUAUGCAAAAGACCUUCACAAAGUUCCUUGGCAGACGCCAGCCUGUCAUGGUGAGAAGCAAAUGCCUGGGUCCUGGGAAGGAGGCAGCUCAAAGGAGGGGAAGUAUUCUGGGCUGAGAGUCCCAAGGGGCUGAGCCAACUUGUCUUCUGCCUCUCAGCAUGAGGAGAAAUAUUUCUCUGGUCCUGAGCCCCAAGCUGUGCUGAGACAAUUCCAGGAGGAACUGGCUUCCAUGGACAAGGAGAUUGAGGUCCGGAAUGCAGUCCUGGACCUGCCCUGUGAGUACCUUUGACCCAGCAUGGUAGAGAACAGCGUGACCAUCUGAGAGGCCUUGCCCGCCUCAGCUCCAAAGCUCCACCAUCCCUGAGUGCCUUUGAGUAUUCCGUCCUCCUCACAUCCUCUGGUGAACAAAUUGUCCCCAAAGCUUUGUGGUCAGGGUAUCCAGAGCUGCUCACCACACAACUAUGGGGAAUACACAGUGAUGGUCCCCAUUGCAUUUGGAAGUGGCAUCCCCCAAAGCUGCCCUACCUUAAAUGUCCAUCCAGUCCUGCACUUCCUCACCCCGAUCCCUGCACACCUCCUCAUUGCCAAAGGACCUGGCUUAGAUACAAGUAAAAAUAUAUGAUUAAAUAACAAAA